AAUUUUGGACAAUGUGGGAAACCCUGAUCCAGCCAGCCCGCUUGUAUGAUGAAUGCCUUCGGGUGGUAAAGUACUUUUGGCAGAGAAGAAAAGGUACCGCUUAAUACGAGAUACUGCUGACGGUACCUGCAGAAUAAGCACUGUCUAACUACUUCACAUCAGCCGAGGUAAUACGUUGGGUGCAAGCGUUAACCGGAAUUACUGGGCGUAAAGCGUGUGUAGGCGGUUCGGAAAGAAAGAUGUGAAAUCCCAGGGCUCAGCCUUGGAACUGCAUUUUUAACUGCCGAGCUAGAGUAUGUCAGAGAAGGGUAGAAUUCCAUGUGUAGCAGUGAAAUGCGUAGAUAUGUGGAGGAAUACCGAUGGCGAAGGCAGCCCCCUGGGAUAAUACUGACGCUCAGACACGAAAGCGUGGGGAGCAAACAG
Molecule: ribosomal RNA, 423 nt
Filed under: uncultured bacterium
Lineage: Bacteria
Description: partial 16S ribosomal RNA
Rfam family: Bacterial small subunit ribosomal RNA
Source: RNAcentral